This 67-nucleotide transfer RNA is filed under the name Marmota monax (woodchuck). RNAcentral describes it as "tRNA.Asn". Lineage: Eukaryota; Metazoa; Chordata; Mammalia; Rodentia; Sciuridae. The record is from RNAcentral.
GGUUGUGGCUCAGUGGUACAGCGCUUACCUGUUGUGCAUGAGGCAUUGGGUUCAAUCCUCAGCACCA